AUCUUGCUCCCGUUGGAAGAAGCCCUCGGGCUGCCGCCGACGUUCUUGGACGCCGAAGAUGGCGGUGAACCGACGGAGGCGGUGGCGGCGGCAGAUGCCGACGGCGGAACGCUGUUCGCCCCACCGAGCUGUUGAUGCUGCCCAGUUGGUGAGGGUCUGCCUGAGUUGAUCCCGAAAGAUAUCUGCGACUGGUUCCCCACGUUUGAGAGGAUCGACUGGGGAGGAGCCCUCCCUUGCUGCUGAGGCAGGUGGUUCUUGGCGGCGGGGGAGUUGGCGUUCGGAGGGGGAGUUGACAUGGCGGCCGUUGAGCCGGUUCUAGCAGAGUUCUUCCACUGCCCCGACUGGGUGGGGUUGUUGUUGCCUUGGAUGAGCGCCUGGGGAAUGCCAGAGAGAGCAUUGGGGAGCUUGGACAUCGCCGCCCCACCUGGCAUCC
RNAcentral lists this long non-coding RNA (433 nucleotides) under Spirodela polyrhiza (greater duckweed). Its description in RNAcentral is "long non-coding RNA (SPOL_LNC001271)". The record is from RNAcentral. Lineage: Eukaryota; Viridiplantae; Streptophyta; Magnoliopsida; Alismatales; Araceae.